Molecule: ribosomal RNA, 515 nt
Filed under: uncultured bacterium
Lineage: Bacteria
Description: partial 16S ribosomal RNA
Rfam family: Bacterial small subunit ribosomal RNA
Source: RNAcentral
GAUGAACGCUGGCGGCGUGCCUAAUACAUGCAAGUCGAGCGAAUGGAUUGAGAGCUUGCUCUUAUGAAGUUAGCGGCGGACGGGUGAGUAACACGUGGGUAACCUGCCCAUAAGACUGGGAUAACUCCGGGAAACCGGGGCUAAUUCCGGAUAACAUUUUGAACCGCAUGGUUCGAAAUUGAAAGGCGGCUUCGGCUGUCACUUAUGGAUGGACCCGCGUCGCAUUAGCUAGUUGGUGAGGUAACGGCUCACCAAGGCAACGAUGCGUAGCCGACCUGAGAGGGUGGUCGGCCACCCUGGGACUGCGACACGGCCCAGACUCCUACGGGAGGCAGCAGUAGGGAAUCUUCCGCAAUGGACGAAAGUCUGACGGAGCAACGCCGCGUGAGUGAUGAAGGCUUUCGGGUCGUAAAACUCUGUUGUUAGGGAAGAACAAGUGCUAGUUGAAUAAGCUGGCACCUUGACGGUGCCUAACCAGAAAGCCACGGCUAACUACGUGCCAGCAGCCGCCGCUG